AUUGAACGCUGGCGGCAUGCCUUACACAUGCAAGUCGAACGGCAGCACGGGUGCUUGCCCCUGGUGGCGAGUGGCGAACGGGUGAGUAAUACAUCGGAACAUGUCCUGUAGUGGGGGAUAGCCCGGCGAAAGCCGGUUUAAUACCGCAUACGAUCUACGGAUAAAAGCGGGGGACUUUGGGCCCUCGCUCUCAGGGGUUGGCCGAUGGCUGAUUAGCUAGUUGGUGGGGUAAAGGCCUACCAAGGCGACGAUCAGUAGCUGGUCUGAGAGGGCGACCAGCCACACUGGAACUGAGACACGGCCCAGACUCCUACGGGAGGCAGCAGUGGGGAAUUUUGGACAAUGGGCGAAAGCCUGAUCCAGCAAUGCCGCGUGUGUGAAGAAGGCCUUCGGGUUGUAAAGCACUUUUGUCCGGAAAGAAAUCCUUGGCCCUAAUACGGUCGGGGGAUGACGGUACCGGAAGAAUAAGCACCGGCUAACUACGUG
This 486-nucleotide ribosomal RNA is filed under the name uncultured bacterium. RNAcentral describes it as "partial 16S ribosomal RNA". It matches the Rfam family "Bacterial small subunit ribosomal RNA", at positions 30 to 507 of the family's 1533-position model. The record is from RNAcentral.